RNAcentral lists this ribosomal RNA (269 nucleotides) under uncultured bacterium. RNAcentral's name for it is "partial 16S ribosomal RNA". It matches the Rfam family "Bacterial small subunit ribosomal RNA", at positions 793 to 1055 of the family's 1533-position model. The record is from RNAcentral.
GUCCUAGCCGUAAACGAUGGACACUAGGUGUUGGCCCCGUCUGGGGUCAGUGCCGCAGGUAACCCGCUAAGUGUCCCGCCUGAGGAGUACGGCCGCAAGGUUGAAACUCAAAGGAAUUGACGGGGGCCAGCACAAGCGGUGGAACAUGUGGUUCAAUUCGAUGCUACGCGAAAAACCUUACCCAGGCUUGACAUGCAGGGAGUAAGAACCUGAAAGGGCGAUGACUCGUAUCCAGUCGAGAUCCUGCACAGGUGCUGCAUGGCUGUCGU